Molecule: ribosomal RNA, 1248 nt
Filed under: Triticum aestivum (bread wheat)
Lineage: Eukaryota; Viridiplantae; Streptophyta; Magnoliopsida; Poales; Poaceae
Description: partial small subunit ribosomal RNA
Source: RNAcentral
AUGAAGAUGGCGACUUGCAUUCGUAAGGUGGCCUCGGAGGAGUUUGGAGUGUCCAGGGGAAGGAGAAGCGAAGAUAACGAUACCUGGUGGUGGAAUGAUGAUGUCCAGAAGGCGCUUAAAGAGAAGAAAGAUUGCUUCAGACGCCUAUACCUGGAUAGGAGUGCAGACAACAUAGAGAAGUACAAGAUGGCGAAGAAGGCCGCAAAGCGAGCUGUUGGUGAAGCAAGGGGUCGGGCAUAUGAGGACCUCUACCAACGGUUAGGCACGAAGGAAGGUGAAAGGGACAUCUAUAAGAUGGCUAAGAUCCGGGAGAGGAAGACGAGGGAUAUUGGCCAAGUCAAAUGCAUCAAGGACGGAGCAGGCCAACUCUUGGUGAAGGACGAAGAGAUUAAGCAUAGAUGGCGGGAGUACUUCGACAAGCUGUUCAAUGGGGAGAAUGAGAGUUCUACCAUUGAACUGAAUGACUCCUUUGAUGAGACCAGCAUGCGUUUUGUGCGGCGCAUCCAGGAGUCUGAGGUGAAGGAGGCUUUAAAAAGGAUGAAAGGAGGCAAGGCGAUGGGCCCUGAUUGUAUCCCCAUUGAGGUGUGGAAAGAUCUCGGGGACAUAGCGAUAGUAUGGCUAACCAAGCUUUUCAACCUCAUUUUUCGGGCAAACAAGAUGCCAGAAGAAUGGAGACGGAGUAUAUUAGUACCAAUCUUCAAGAACAAGGGGGAUGUUCAGAGUUGUACUAAUUACCGUGGAAUUAAGCUGAUGAGCCAUACAAUGAAGCUAUGGGAGAGAGUCAUUGAGCACCGCUUAAGAAGAAUGACAAGCGUGACCAAAAAUCAGUUUGGUUUCAUGCCUGGGAGGUCGACCAUGGAAGCCAUUUUCUUGGUACGACAACUUAUGGAGAGAUAUAGGGAGCAUAAGAAGGACUUGCAUAUGGUGUUCAUUGACUUGGAGAAGGCCUAUGAUAAGAUACCGCGGAAUGUCAUGUGGUGGGCCUUGGAGAAACACAAAGUCCCAGCAAAGUACAUUACCCUCAUCAAGGACAUGUACAAUAAUGUUGUGACAAGUGUUCGAACAAGUGAUGUCGACACCGAUGACUUCCCGAUUAAGAUAGGACUGCAUCAGGGGUCAGCUUUGAGCCCUUAUCUUUUUGCAUUGGUGAUGGAUGAGGUCACAAGGGGUAUACAAGGAGAUAUCCCAUGGUGUAUGCUCUUUGCGGAUGAUGUGGUGCUAGUUGACGAUAUAGUCGGACGGGGGUAA